This is a long non-coding RNA of Oreochromis niloticus (Nile tilapia), 2211 nucleotides long. NCBI's taxonomy places the organism in Eukaryota, Metazoa, Chordata, Actinopteri, Cichliformes, Cichlidae. The record is from Ensembl.
AUGUGUCAGAGAGGCACAGGGUGGGAUGAGCCACUACCCAAGGACCUGAAGUUAAGGUGGGAGACUUGGAUGAAGGAUUUGGAGAACCUGGAAAGAAUUGAGAUUCCAAGAUGCUUCAUACCUGACAGCCUUGGUGAGAUUCAGAGAGCCGAGCUUCAUCAUUUCUCUGAUGCAAGCAGUCAAGGGUAUGGUCAGUGCUCUUACAUCAGAGUGGUAAGCAGAGAAAGGAUAUGCUGCUCCUUGGUCAUGGGCAAGGCAAGGGUUGCACCAACCAAAAUAGUUACCAUACCCAGACUUGAGUUAACUGCUGCAGUAACCUCGGCAGCUGUGAGUAGCAUGUUAAGGGAGGAGCUGGAGCUCAAGAUUGACGACGAAUAUUUUUGGACAGACUCAAAGGUCGUGCUUGGUUACAUUAAUAAUGAAGCAAGAAGGUUCCAUGUGUUCGUGGCAAACCGCGUUCAGAGAAUUCGAGAAACCACCGAUGCACGGAAAUGGUAUUAUGUUGACACAGGAGAAAACCCUGCUGAUCAUGGCUCGAGAGGCCUCAAAGUAGCUGACCUCAUCAAGUCAAAUUGGUUCUCUGGUCCCAGCUUUCUAUGGGAAAGAGAGAUAGCCACAAAACAGGCUACUUCAGAUUUGCUGGUGGGAGACCCUGAGGUGAGGACUACUCAGGUGUUGAAGGUUGAUGUAGCAAGGCAGUUUGACAUCCAGAAGCAUCUGCUGCGGUUCUCAAGAUGGACUACAGCUGUCAACGUCAUUGCUCGUAUCCAGCGGCUGGCAAAGAGGAUCAGGACCGCUGAGCCUUUAAACGUGGAAGAGAGAAAACAAGCUGCACAGACUCUCGUCAAGCUUGCACAACAAGAUGCCUUUCAAGAGGAGUUAAACGCACUCAGCCAGAAACCAGGAAGGCUGCCUUGCAACCACCAACUCUUUCAGCUUGACCCAUUCCUCCAAGAUGGCAUAAUGAGAGUAGGAGGAAGACUGAGGAAGGCAUCUGUGCCUCUCGAGUUAAGACACCCAGUGAUCCUUCCUAAAGAUGGUGCUGUUACAAACCUCAUCAUUGCACACCAUCAUACUAAGAUACAACACCAAGGCAGAGGACAAACCCUCAAUGCACUGAGAGCCAAUGGUUACUGGAUCGCUGGUAGAAGUAAGGCUGUAGCCCAAUACAUCAGGCAGUGCGUACAGUGCAGGAGAGCCCGCGCGCAACCAGAGGAGCAACGGAUGGCAGAUCUACCUAGUGACCGUGUUGAUCCCACACCACCAUUCACUUAUUGUGGUAUGGACUGCUUUGGUCCUUUUCACACCAAACAAGGUCGCAAGGAUCAAAAACGGUAUGGCCUCCUCUUCACAUGUCUUUGCUCAACGGCAGUGCAUAUAGAGAUGUUGGAGGAUUUGACGACUGACGCGUUCAUCAAUGCUUUGCGCUGCUUUAUUGCCCUUCGUGGAGCUGUUAGGCACAUUAGGUCCGAUCAGGGAACUAACUUUAUGGGGGCAAGAAAUGAGAUGGCAAAGGCUCUGAAAGAACUUGAUAAGGAAAGAGUGACUGCAUACCUAGCAGAAAAUCAGUGCGACUUCCAGAUGAAUACGCCCCACUCUAGUCAUGCUGGAGGUGCAUGGGAGCGUCAAAUCCAGACAGUGAGAAGUGUACUGAGCAUGGUCCUUGCCUGCAGUGUGGGAAGGUUGGAUGAUGCUUCAUUAAGGACAUUCCUUUAUGAAGCUAUGUGCAUCGUGAAUAACCGCCCACUCACUGUUGAUAACAUGAACGACCCCAAAAGCUUGGAGCCACUCACACCAAACCACUUGAUCACCAUGAAAUCCUCAAUCCCACUUCCACCUCCAGGUAAAUUUGUCAAGGAGGAGCUGUACGCCAAGAAACGGUGGAGAAGGGUCCAGUAUCUGACCGAGCAAUUUUGGCACAGAUGGAGAAAGGAAUACCUGGCCAAUAUUGCUCUGAGACAGCGAUGGCAUACACCAAGACGUAAUGUGGAGGUGGGUGACAUUGUGAUUCUCAAGGAGGAAGAUGUUCCUCGCAAUGAAUGGAAACUCGCUAGGGUUGUGGAAGCACAUGAGGAUGAUGAUGGACUUGUACGGAAGGUGACAAUCCAGACUGGUGAUCGGAAGUUAGGAAAGGGAGGCAAACGCCUCGUCCAACCCUCAAUCAUUCAAAGACCCAUUCAGAAAUUAGUGGUCCUGGUGAAAAACAGCUAA